GAUGAACGCUGGCGGCGUGCCUAACACAUGCAAGUCGAGCGAUUCUCUUCGGAGAAGAGCGGCGGACGGGUGAGUAACGCGUGGGUAACCUGCCUUGUACACACGGAUAACAUACCGAAAGGUAUGCUAAUACGAGAUAAUAUACUUUUAUCGCAUGGUAGAAGUAUCAAAGCUCCGGCGGUACAGGAUGGACCCGAGUCUGAUUAGCUAGUUGGUAAGGUAACGGCUUACCAAGGCGACGAUCAGUAGCCGACCUGAGAGGGUGAUCGGCCACAUUGGAACUGAGACACGGUCCAAACUCCUACGGGAGGCAGCAGUGGGGAAUGUUGCACAAUGGGCGAAAGCCUGAUGCAGCAACGCCGCGUGAGCGAUGAAGGCCUUCGGGUCGUAAAGCUCUGUCCUCAAGGAAGAUAAUGACGGUACUUGAGGAGGAAGCCCCGGCUAACUACGUGCCAGCCGCCGCAGUAA
RNAcentral lists this ribosomal RNA (468 nucleotides) under uncultured bacterium. Its description in RNAcentral is "partial 16S ribosomal RNA". It matches the Rfam family "Bacterial small subunit ribosomal RNA", at positions 28 to 523 of the family's 1533-position model. The record is from RNAcentral.